AACGAACGUUAGCGGCGCGCCUAACACAUGCAAGUCGUGCGAGAAAGGGCUUCGGCCCCGGUAAAGCGGCGCACGGGUGAGUAACACGUAGGCAAUCUGCCUCCGAGUGGUGGAUAACCUUCCGAAAGGAGGGCUAAUACAGCAUAAGACCACGGGUUCGUAGAACCUGAGGUCAAAGCGGACCUCUUCAUGAAAGUUCGCGCUUGGAGAUGAGCCUGCGGCCCAUCAGCUAGUUGGUAAGGUAAUGGCUUACCAAGGCUAAGACGGGUAGCUGGUCUGAGAGGACGAACAGCCACACUGGAACUGAGACACGGUCCAGACUCCUACGGGAGGCAGCAGUGGGGAAUCUUGCGCAAUGGGCGAAAGCCUGACGCAGCGACGCCGCGUGAGCGAUGAAGGCCUUCGGGUUGUAAAGCUCUGUGGGGAGAGACGAAUAAGGUGCAGCUAAUACCUGCAUCGAUGACGGUAUCUCCUUAGCAAGCACCGGCUAACUCUGUGCCAGCAGCCGCAGUAAAAC
This 517-nucleotide ribosomal RNA is filed under the name uncultured bacterium. RNAcentral describes it as "bacterial SSU rRNA". It matches the Rfam family "Bacterial small subunit ribosomal RNA", at positions 29 to 526 of the family's 1533-position model. The record is from RNAcentral.